ACAAGCACAUGAUAGUUAGAGCUACGCACGCACACGUCUGUCUCCACACAUUUUUAUGUUUUUACAUGAUUCACAUCAGCUGACAUGAUGUGAGAAAAAAAACAGAGCAACUCACCUCUCAAGGACGUCACUACUUCCUGGUUCUCCCUCGGGUCCUGAGGCAGCAUUCUCAAUCACCGCGGCAACCACGCAUCCAGCCUCCAUGAUGCUGCUUUUCUGCAACUGUCCGCUGUAGAGAAACGUGAGUGGGAGGAGAGGGAGGGAGACAAAGCCAGAGUGGGUGGGUGAGCGUAAGAGUAGAGCAUGGGAGAAGGAGUCCGAUCCUAUGAAGCCGCCAGACGUUAACACACUUGAGGCUGCAGCGUGCGCGACUCUCAAGGCUACAAUUCACAUAGCCCAGACUGUAAUCUGCGAUGACAUCAUGCUACAGUGCCAGGAGCUGCUUCAGGGAUAUAAAGAAUGUCAGACGGCACAUUCAUGAGAGGAUUUCAUGAGAAUAUCAGCUUCUUUUCUUUCUUCCUUUUUUUUUUUUUAUCAUUUUUGCACUGACAGGAGUUAGCUGGAGAAAACAUCCACCUUCAAGAAAAUGUCAAGGCUGUCAUGGCAGUUUCAGUAUGAGCCCCGGGAUAAAAUUAGUUCACUUAGCAUCAUUAUCUUUGCUCAUAGAUAUCCACUCACUGGCUAUUUUGUUUGGUGCAACUGUUAAGCUGCUAGUAAAUGCAAAUAUCUUAUCAGCUAAUCACAUGGCAACAACUCAAUUAAUUUUGGCACGUAGAAAUGUUCAGAACAACCUGCUUAAGUUUAAACUGAGCAUCCAAAUUGUUAAUAGAGAUGAUUCAAAUCACUUUGAAUAUGGCAUUGUUGUUGGUGGUCUGAGUAUUUCAGAAACUGCUGAUCCACUGGGAUUUUCCAACAAAAUCAUCUGUAAGGUUUACAGAGAUGGUCCAUAACUGAGAAAAUGUACAGUGAGCACAGUACUCUGGUUAAAAAUGACUUCGUACAUCAGAGGAGAAUGGCCAAAAUAGUUCACACUGAUGGGAAGGUAAUAGUAACUCAAAUAAUCAAUCAUUACAACCAAGCUAUGUACAAAAGCAUCUCUGAAU
Astatotilapia calliptera (eastern happy) is the source of this 1103-nucleotide long non-coding RNA. NCBI's taxonomy places the organism in Eukaryota, Metazoa, Chordata, Actinopteri, Cichliformes, Cichlidae. The record is from Ensembl.